Molecule: long non-coding RNA, 2851 nt
Filed under: Mus musculus (house mouse)
Lineage: Eukaryota; Metazoa; Chordata; Mammalia; Rodentia; Muridae
Description: long non-coding RNA chr2:143690435-143693286
Source: RNAcentral
GUGAGUAUCUCACAGGCCUCACAUCAUUUGCAAGGCAGUGCCUUUCGUGCCUCCAAACACAAAGAGUUGGGUUUCCUAGAAGCCUGUCAGGCAAUUAGCAAUUCUGAUACUGGACCUGAUGGCCACACCACAGUUUGAUCAAAUCCUUCCCUUCAUCCUGAUCAGUUGGUGAUGCUCUCAACAAGUGUUGCUUGAACUGAUAAAUAAGAAACUAAAGAAACCAGUCUUUACCUUGCUUCCUUGCUGAACCUGAUUCUUACAACUUACCUGAAACGUCUUCCAACCCCAUGUAUAUUUGCCUCCUGUUUCUCUAGAUGCACGAUUUAAAAUUCAGUCCUUCACAACAGCUCCAUUUCACAUUUUAGUGUUUAGGUUUUCAACUAUUGGGAACCCAGCCUUGCUUACAUGCUAGGCAACCGAUAUACUAUCCAUCCAUAGUCUCAACUUCCUGGUUUUAAGUAGCCACAUGGCCUGUUUGAAUGGCUGAAGUCAACAUUCAUUUCAGUAGUCACAGAAAGCUCUAUCUGAGAGUGUGGCUUUGGGUCUGCGACAAGAUUGGGGUUUAAAAUAGUUUAGAUGUUACUUUCAGAAUGAGGCCCUGUCAGGGCAGACUUUGAUAAUGGUUAUAUCUUUGACACUCCCGAGUGUUUUAACAGAGUUUUGUGAAUUAGUGAUUUGAUAACUGCACAUGGCUUGUUUCUGUGGAAAUCCUGUGGCAGCACCAUGAUUCGGCCAUUUUGUGAGGAUGGCCUUCUGUCCUUGGUCAGCUCCCUAGCUCUCCCUCUAAAAGUCCCACUGGGCAUCAUCAGCUUAAUUACCUACAAAGCCUACAUAGAAGAGAGGCGACAGAGCCUCUCUCUUCUGAACAUCCUCAGAGAACACUGUUGACUAAAAGCAAGCCUUUGAAGCAGAGUUGAUAGAGAAAACAAGGCAAAGCAGGAUGCUCUGAACCUGCUCUGUCUCUGUGGGAGCUCAUUAAACAAUGCACGGCACUGCCUCCAUAAGCAUCUGAUGUGUGAGAUGUUUUGAAGUGGAUGUUAAAAGCCUUCUCUCGUCCUGAGAGCUUUCCCUAGAAGAAAGAACUAUGUGGGCAGAUGUCAGAGCUUAUGAAUAUAGUUUUUCCUUCUGAACACUUUGGCUUAGACUACUUUUCAGAGCAGCUGAGGCCAGCCCAUCCAGAAAAAGACACAUCUAAUUUUGAAGAAACCACCUAGGGUAUUCUGUGAAAACUAAUGAAACAGCUCAUUGGAAGUCCUGCACUGUAAAUAGAGAAGCAAAUGCGGCACAGCAGUGACAACCUCUCUGAUCAACCAACACCAGCCUGACCAAGCCCCAACAGUACUAUAGGUGCCAGUUUCAGCUUCUGUCCAUAACCUCCUUGAAUGACACUCAAGCCAUUCCUUCCAAAGAUGGCCAAUGAGAAGGUGCCUCACUCUGCCCCAGAAUAAGAGGCAAAACUCUUUAGUAAGUCCCAGAAGGAUUUCCUGUUUGAUCUUAGUUUUGUAGGUUAGUGGUCAUUGGGAUCCUUAUAAGCUGAAUUCACUGUCCCUCAAUUAAAAUUCCUAAUUUCUCUACUGUUUUGGUCACUUCUGCUACAGAACAAACCACCUAGAAUAACCUUUUUUUUUAGUUACUGUGUCUUAUAAUUCUGUGAGAUGAUGGACUCUACUGGAAAGUUCUGCUGGUGUCUCUAAAGAAAGAAAAGAAUAUGUUCAGUCAGGGAAGGAGGCUCAGUCAAUAAAGCUUUUGUACAAGUAUAAGGACCUGAGUCCCCAUCCCUAGCACACUUGUGAAAGCUGAGUGCAGCAGUGCACACCUGUACCCCAGCACUGAGGAUCAAGGUCAGGCUGCAGAGACUGGCAGAUCCCUGGAGCUCACUGGGAGGUCAGCCUCACUGAAUCAGUGAGGGCAGGAACAGUGAGAGGUCUUGCCUCAGAGAACAAGGCAGAGAGCAACUGAGGAAGACAUCUGAUAUCUCCCUCUGCCCUCUACAUGCAUAAGGACACAUGUGCAACACACACACACACCAGAACAUGUGUCAAUAUAUUCUACUUUAAGAGAUAAUCAAGCAUACAAGAACAUUAAAACAUAAUCUAUCAGGCUAUUACUUCCAUUUAGAUCAUUCUUUCAUUGGUAGGAAAAUGUCUUUCAUCCUUUACAAUUCUAUCAACAAUAUUUUCUUUCUCAACCCCAAGUCUGUAACCAUUCUACCAACAUUUUCUCUUAACCUUACUAAAGAUUCUUUCUUAUAAUUAUAAUAAAUAUAUUUUACUAAAAUAUUAUUUCCUCUGGUCUCAUAUUAACUCCUUACACUCAUAUUUCCUUUCACAGAGAAGAGAUUACCAAUGCUUCUCUUAAACAAAAAGUAUUUUCAGAACAUGGAAUCAUGUUUUUACUUCUGUCUCAGAGGGGAGACAGUGGAUCAUGACAGGGGACACAUGACAGCAGGAGGAAGAGGCUCACCUGGCAGUCAGGAAGGUGACUGAUCACAUUUCAUCACCAUGCAAGAAGCUGAGAGAGAGAAUAGGAAGUGGGACUAUAAUAUGAGUGUCAAAGUUCAUCUUUACUUAUGUACUUCCUCCAGUGAGGCCCCACCCCCUAAGGUUCCACAACCUCCCCAAAUACCAGCACCAGCUGGAGAUCAAGCGUUUAUGUGUAUGAGCCUGUGGGGGUAAUUUUAUAUUCAAACCACAAGUUCCUACCUGGUCCCACAGUCUUGAGGCCAUUUCAUAAUACAAAAUGCAUUUAGUCCAAUUUCAAUAGUCCUAUAGUCUUUAAAAUAGCAACACUGUUCAAAUGCCCAAAGUCUUUCUAAGACUCAAGGUAAACCCUUACUGUAAACUGUAAAACC